AUGCAAGUCGAACGGCUAUAGGAUGGGGACCAAAGACUAGAAUUUUAUAAAAAAUUAGAGUUGAAACAAUCUGGUUUUUCUAGCAUCUAGUUUCUGGCCUCUAUCCUCUAGCAGUGGCGGACGGGUGAGCUAACACGUGGAUAACCUGCCGAUAAUCGGGGAAUAACGGAUAGAAAUAUCCGCUAAAACCGCAUAAGCUCACAAGAUGGCAUCAUCAUGUGAGAAAAUAUUUAUAGAUUAUCGAGGGGUCCGCGUCCGAUUAGCUAGUUGGCGGGGUAAAGGCCCACCAAGGCAAUGAUCGGUAGCCGGCCUGAGAGGGCGAACGGCCACAUUGGGACUGAGACACGGCCCAAACUCCUACGGGAGGCAGCAGUGGGGAAUAUUGCGCAAUGGGCGAAAGCCUGACGCAGCAACGCCGCGUGAAGGAAGAAGGUCCUCUGGAUUGUAAACUUCUAUCGAUGGGGAAGAAUAAAUGACGGUACCCAAGUAAGAAGCACCGGCUAACUACGUGCCAGCAGCCGCGGUAAUACGUAGGGUGCAAGCGUUAUCCGGAAUUACUGGGCGUAAAGGGUGAGUAGGCGUCCGAUUAGGUCAUAUGUGAAACUCCAAGGCUUAACCUUGGAACUGCAUAAGAAACCGGUUGGAUAGAGUGCAGGAGAGGCAAGCGGAAUUCCUAGUGUAGCGGUGAAAUGCGUAGAUAUUA
RNAcentral lists this ribosomal RNA (703 nucleotides) under uncultured Bacillota bacterium. RNAcentral describes it as "bacterial SSU rRNA". It matches the Rfam family "Bacterial small subunit ribosomal RNA", at positions 55 to 699 of the family's 1533-position model. Lineage: Bacteria; Bacillati; Bacillota. The record is from RNAcentral.